CUGUAAGAGAAAAUUGGUUCAUGCAAUUUUAAGGCCGGUGACACACUGGCUGCGUGGCGUGAGUGUGCCGUUUUUGUUGCGUGGCGGCUGCGUCACGUUUUCUGUGUCUUUACACACCAGAACCGUGCCUGACGUGGCGCUGGCGCGCUGCUGCUGCUGAAGGUGACAUAGAGGGAGGCCGCUGACAGACCAGGCUCUUGUCUUCAUGACAACAAUUUCAACUUUUUUCACACACAUACACCUUCCAAAAUCCGAAAAAUGGGGCGUGAGUGCUGAAUACUGGAGUCUCAUUCAAAUGCUGCAGCGGAGGGAGUUGCCAUGGAAACGGGGCAACAACACCAACUGACAAACUUCCCUCGCAGCUGUUUUCACUUCUUUCAGUUCAGCAGAGUUGGAGCAGACCUCCUGUCGGACAACAUCUCUAAGGCGCUAUGAACCAUAUGACUGGAUCUUGUGAGAAGUACUUCAUCUGAUACUGCCGCGAAGUUUCCCCUCCAUCCUCUCCACCACCACCAGGUUGGCUCUGUCCAUGCGGGGGUAUGCUCUGCUCUUAGUCUUUGGCAGGAAUAGCUGAAAUCUACAACGUCUGAUUCAAGCUACAGAUGGGGCCUACGCCAAAAUAAUUUUGUUCUUUUUGUAUUGGUUUUGUAAAUAAAUUCUUUUGCAUUUUAUCUUC
This is a long non-coding RNA of Cyprinus carpio (common carp), 676 nucleotides long. RefSeq lists it as uncharacterized. NCBI's taxonomy places the organism in Eukaryota, Metazoa, Chordata, Actinopteri, Cypriniformes, Cyprinidae. The record is from RefSeq and is a predicted model, not a curated record.